CUAAGUGCUGUCUUUUAAUUUCUCUGUCCCUACCUUCUUCUCAAGGGAAGAGGUCUCCUGGGGCAUAUCCCAUCUUGCCCCCUUUCCCAUGAGUACUGCUUCUCCUUCAGAUCCAUCUCCUGCUUCUCUGCUGACUGCAUACUGGUGUUGAGUGAUCCCCACAUCAGGCUGCCUGUGUGCUGCAGCUCUCCUGCCUGUUCCAGAAAAGUGUGGAAUCUCUCUCUGCAGAGUGUAACUGAGUUCUCACCCAGCAGCCCCCGAGGCUCUUUGUGCUAUAAAAAGCACCAGCAGCUUUGAGACCUCUCAGGAUGUGUGAAGAGACUCAAAUCUAUUUGCUGAGAGCAGUUCAUAAAGCAACAUUGCCCAAGUCUAUUCUGGAGAAGUUACAGAGUCUGAAAAGGGAAGCAGUGAGAAAAGGUGCCCUGAAGAACAAAGAACUGGGGUAAAAUUUAAAAGCUGAAGGAAGCAGACAUAAGUAGCAAAGAUUCCAAGCAAAGGAGCGAAAGUCCAUUAAUAACCAGAGGUUGCAGGGGGAAGGAUUUAUUUUUAAUCUGCGUUUGUACUGCACCUAGCCUCGCGUAAAGGGAUCCUGAUCUCGGUGGGACUGCCUAUAAGCUACUGCAAUGCAAACAACACAUUGUACAAUAAAGAGCUGUGUUUCGCAACUUUGUUAUAAGAGUGAUAAACUGCCACGUGGAAGCUGGGGAGACAGAAGCUUACUUAUGCCCGACUUAAGUCUGUGAAUCUUCUAAUGUUUAAACUGCAAUUGAAUCUUUUCAA
Molecule: long non-coding RNA, 780 nt
Organism: Rhea pennata
Lineage: Eukaryota; Metazoa; Chordata; Aves; Rheiformes; Rheidae
Exons: 5
Source: RefSeq, a predicted model, not a curated record